This 79-nucleotide transfer RNA is filed under the name Acidobacteriota bacterium. RNAcentral's name for it is "Acidobacteria bacterium (activated sludge metagenome) tRNA-Met". Lineage: Bacteria; Pseudomonadati; Acidobacteriota. The record is from RNAcentral.
CGCGGGGUGGGAGCAGUCUAGGGAUCGUUGGGCUCAUAACCCGAGGUCGCAGGUUCAAGAAUCCACGCCCCCGCAACCA